UACAGAGGGUGCGAGCGUUAAUCGGAAUUACUGGGCGUAAAGGGCGCGUAGGCGGUUAUAUAAGUUAGAGGUGAAAUCCCCGGGCUUAACCUGGGAACGGCCUUUAAGACUGUAUGACUAGAGUAGUGUAGAGGGGAGUGGAAUUUACGGUGUAGCGGUGAAAUGCGUAGAUAUCGUAAGGAAGACCAGUGGCGAAGGCGGGUCUCUGGACAGUUCCUGACGCUGAGGCACGAAGGUCAGGGGAGCAAACGGG
Molecule: ribosomal RNA, 253 nt
Filed under: uncultured bacterium
Lineage: Bacteria
Description: partial 16S ribosomal RNA
Rfam family: Bacterial small subunit ribosomal RNA
Source: RNAcentral